GGCGCUUACCAUGCAGUCGAGCGGGGGAGGUAGCUUGCUACCGGACCUAGCGGCGGACGGGUGAGUAAUGCUUAGGAAUCUGCCUAUUAGUGGGGGACAACAUCUCGAAAGGGAUGCUAAUACCGCAUACGUCCUACGGGAGAAAGCAGGGGAUCUUCGGACCUUGCGCUAAUAGAUGAGCCUAAGUCGGAUUAGCUAGUUGGUGGGGUAAAGGCCUACCAAGGCGACGAUCUGUAGCGGGUCUGAGAGGAUGAUCCGCCACACUGGGACUGAGACACGGCCCAGACUCCUACGGGAGGCAGCAGUGGGGAAUAUUGGACAAUGGGCGCAAGCCUGAUCCAGCCAUGCCGCGUGUGUGAAGAAGGCCUUAUGGUUGUAAAGCACUUUAAGCGAGGAGGAGGCUACUUUAGAUAAUACCUAGAGAUAGUGGACGUUACUCGCAGAAUAAGCACCGGCUAACUCUGUGCCAGCAGCCGCGGUAAUACAGAGGGUGCAAGCGUUAAUCGGAUUUACUGGGCGUAAAGCGCGCGUAGGCGGCUAAUUAAGUCAAAUGUGAAAUCCCCGAGCUUAACUUGGGAAUUGCAUUCGAUACUGGUUAGCUAGAGUGUGGGAGAGGAUGGUAGAAUUCCAGGUGUAGCGGUGAAAUGCGUAGAGAUCUGGAGGAAUACCGAUGGCGAAGGCAGCCAUCUGGCCUAACACUGACGCUGAGGUGCGAAAGCAUGGGGAGCAAACAGGAUUAG
RNAcentral lists this ribosomal RNA (740 nucleotides) under Acinetobacter calcoaceticus. RNAcentral describes it as "bacterial SSU rRNA". It matches the Rfam family "Bacterial small subunit ribosomal RNA", at positions 45 to 781 of the family's 1533-position model. The record is from RNAcentral. Lineage: Bacteria; Pseudomonadati; Pseudomonadota; Gammaproteobacteria; Moraxellales; Moraxellaceae.